ACCCGUAACAACCUUGUAAUGAUGG
RNAcentral lists this non-coding RNA (25 nucleotides) under Gossypium hirsutum (cotton). Lineage: Eukaryota; Viridiplantae; Streptophyta; Magnoliopsida; Malvales; Malvaceae. The record is from RNAcentral.